UGGGGCGUAGCCAAGUGGUAAGGCAGUGGGUUUUGGUCCCGCCACCCCUAGGUUCGAAUCCUAGCGCCCCAG
This 72-nucleotide transfer RNA is filed under the name Anabaena sp. WA113. RNAcentral's name for it is "tRNA-Gln". It matches the Rfam family "tRNA". Rfam says of the family: Transfer RNA (tRNA) molecules are approximately 80 nucleotides in length. Their secondary structure includes four short double-helical elements and three loops (D, anti-codon, and T loops). RNAcentral also lists the same sequence under 8 other names. The record is from RNAcentral. Lineage: Bacteria; Bacillati; Cyanobacteriota; Cyanophyceae; Nostocales; Nostocaceae.